AUUGCUUCUCGGCCUUUUGGCUAAGAUCAAGUGUAGUAGUGAGAUGGGGAAAAUAAAGAUUUUGAAAAGAAAGAUAAUCAUUUAAAAAAAAUCUGAAUAGGGUGGUGCCUGUGGCUCAAAGGAGUAAGGCACCGGCCCCAUAUGCAGG
Molecule: small nuclear RNA, 148 nt
Filed under: Otolemur garnettii (small-eared galago)
Lineage: Eukaryota; Metazoa; Chordata; Mammalia; Primates; Galagidae
Description: U2 spliceosomal RNA
Rfam family: U2 spliceosomal RNA
About the family: U2 is a small nuclear RNA (snRNA) component of the spliceosome (involved in pre-mRNA splicing). Complementary binding between U2 snRNA (in an area lying towards the 5' end but 3' to hairpin I) and the branchpoint sequence (BPS) of the intron results the bulging out of an unpaired adenosine, on the BPS, which initiates a nucleophilic attack at the intronic 5' splice site, thus starting the first of two transesterification reactions that mediate splicing.
Source: Rfam by way of RNAcentral